AGUGAACGCUGGCGGUAGGCCUAACACAUGCGAGUCGAACGGCAGCACAGUAAGAGCUUGCUCUUACGGGUGGCGAGUGGCGGACGGGUGAGGAAUACAUCGGAAUCUACUUUUUCGUGGGGGAUAACGUAGGGAAACUUACGCUAAUACCGCAUACGACCUACGGGUGAAAGCAGGGGAUCUUCGGACCUUGCGCGAUUGAAUGAGCCGAUGUCGGAUUAGCUAGUUGGCGGGGUAAAGGCCCACCAAGGCGACGAUCCGUAGCUGGUCUGAGAGGAUGAUCAGCCACACUGGAACUGAGACACGGUCCAGACUCCUACGGGAGGCAGCAGUGGGGAAUAUUGGACAAUGGGCGCAAGCCUGAUCCAGCCAUACCGCGUGGGUGAAGAAGGCCUUCGGGUUGUAAAGCCCUUUUGUUGGGAAAGAAAAGCAGCAGGUUAAUACCCCGCUGUUCUGACGGUACCAAAAGAAUAAGAACCGGCUAACUGCGU
Molecule: ribosomal RNA, 491 nt
Filed under: uncultured bacterium
Lineage: Bacteria
Description: partial 16S ribosomal RNA
Rfam family: Bacterial small subunit ribosomal RNA
Source: RNAcentral